Myotis lucifugus (little brown bat) is the source of this 626-nucleotide long non-coding RNA. RefSeq lists it as uncharacterized. Lineage: Eukaryota; Metazoa; Chordata; Mammalia; Chiroptera; Vespertilionidae. The transcript has 3 exons. The record is from RefSeq and is a predicted model, not a curated record.
UUUGUCCCCUAUCUCCAUGUCAUUCUCUAGCCUCAUACCAUGAUAUAUUUUCUUUUGAAUACUUGUCAACAUAUGAAACCAUUGAUUACAUAAUUUAAUUAUGUUUUCUUUUCAUUCUACAAGAAAGUAAGUUCCAAGAAGUAGAGUCCUUGUCUGUCUUGUUCACCUGUGAACCUGCAGUGAGGAAAACUGGACAGAGAAGAGAAGUGAUGAGGUUGAUUGUUACUGUGUCUGACUGUCGCUAAGUAAUGAAAGGAAGAGACACCAGGGGUUCUGCACAUGGAGCAAAGGUCAUGUGAAGACACAGUGAGAAGAUAGUUGUCUACAAGCCAAAGAGAGAAGCCUUAAGACAAACCAGCCCUGCCAACACCCGGAACUGCAUUAUUCUGUAUUUGGAUUCCUGCCCAGCUGUGAUGCUGUUUUCCCUCCAGCUAACUAACCCCAGAACUCUUCAUUCAAGCCAUGCUCCAAUUUAAUUCUCUCACACGUGUCUUACCCUCUAAUGGGUCACCUUUCUCUUCCCUGUGGCACCCCAAGUCCACUGGGAAAGAAAUGAAGGAUUCAACACUCUCAAACUUUCUUCUUAUUUCAUACCUUUGUUUUUAUUUUUAUGUUUUUCAUUCUGU